Molecule: unclassified non-coding RNA, 407 nt
Filed under: Hevea brasiliensis (rubber tree)
Lineage: Eukaryota; Viridiplantae; Streptophyta; Magnoliopsida; Malpighiales; Euphorbiaceae
Source: RNAcentral
GUCAAAGGGUGUUGUAUGCAACUGCUGGAAUCUGAUAACAUUCAAAUCUGUCAAACCCGUAAUGGAACGCGGAGUAAAAAGGCAGCUUGACUAUGAAGAUUUACUUGAGCUACCCACUGAUAUGGAUCCUUCAUCCUGCCACACUUUGCUGUCAACAUGCUGGAAAGCUCAACAAAGAAAUGAAUAUUCUCAUCCUUCAUUAAUCAAAACAAUAUGUCGUGCAUUUGGAUGGCAAUAUUUCCGUUUAGGUCUUCUGAAGGUUCUUAAUGACUGUCUCAGUUUUGCGGGUCCAGUGCUUCUCAAUAAGUUGAUUAGCUUUCUACAGCAAGGUUCAAGAGACUAUGACGGCUAUAUUCUUGCACUGUCCUUGGGCCUUUCUUCUGUCUUGAAGUAACUUUUACUCUUCG